Molecule: ribosomal RNA, 358 nt
Filed under: uncultured soil bacterium
Lineage: Bacteria
Description: bacterial SSU rRNA
Rfam family: Bacterial small subunit ribosomal RNA
Source: RNAcentral
AGGACGAACGCUGGCGGCGUGCUUAACACAUGCAAGUCGAGCGGUAAGGCCUUUCGGGGUACACGAGCGGCGAACGGGUGAGUAACACGUGGGUGAUCUGCCCUGCACUCUGGGAUAAGCCUGGGAAACUGGGUCUAAUACCGGAUAUGACCUGCUCUCGCAUGGGGGGUGGGUGGAAAGAUUUAUCGGUGCAGGAUGGGCCCGCGGCCUAUCGAGCUUGUUGGUGGGGUAAUGGCCUACCAAGGCGACGACGGGUAGCCGACCUGAGAGGGUGACCGGCCACACUGGGACUGAGACACGGCCAGACUCCUACGGGAGGCAGCAGUGGGGAAUAGUUGCACAAGUGGGACGAAAGCCU